AGGCUGUGGAAUCCUAAUUAUCCUUCCAAGUCUCAACCCAAGAUCCAUUUCUAUCAUAAAGCCUCUCCACGGGAGCCACGAUCUCCUAAGGACGACAGGUAUCACGGCUUACAGUUACAGGCUACUGAUAAAUUGUUCUGAUUGGUUGAUGACAGCAAAAGAGAAUGAAGAGACCUUGGCUUCCAACUGACUUGCACUGGAGUACUGGCUACAUCAUGUUGGAGCCAGAUGGCCUCAAACGUGUUGUUUAACUUCACUAAGCCCCAGUUUCUAACCUGCAACCUGGAGACAGUUACCCUCCUCAGAAGGCUGUUGUGAGGACCAGAGGAGAUAUGGAAAAUGCCGUGUUCCGCUUGUCCUUUUCCUGCCCCUCUCUUUCAACCAAUGUUACAAGGAUUGGGUUCCUGACUUAUUACCUACUUUGCAAGACUCAUCUCAAAUACAAUAUCCUUUAGAAAA
This is a long non-coding RNA of Artibeus jamaicensis (Jamaican fruit-eating bat), 459 nucleotides long. RefSeq lists it as uncharacterized. Lineage: Eukaryota; Metazoa; Chordata; Mammalia; Chiroptera; Phyllostomidae. The transcript is spliced from 4 exons. The record is from RefSeq and is a predicted model, not a curated record.